RNAcentral lists this ribosomal RNA (450 nucleotides) under uncultured bacterium. Its description in RNAcentral is "partial 16S ribosomal RNA". It matches the Rfam family "Bacterial small subunit ribosomal RNA", at positions 354 to 796 of the family's 1533-position model. The record is from RNAcentral.
GUGGGGAAUAUUCCGCAAUGGACGAAAGUCUGACGGAGCAACGCCGCGUGAGUGAUGAAGGUUUUCGGACUGUAAAGCUCUGUUGUUUAGGACGAAAGUGCCUGUUGCAAAUAGUUACAGGUAUUGACGGUACUGAACGAGGAAGCCACGGCUAACUACGUGCCAGCAGCCGCGGUAAUACGUAGGUGGCAAGCGUUGUCCGGAAUUAUUGGGCGUAAAGAGCAUGUAGGCGGGAAUCUAAGUCUGUUGUGAAAAUGCGGGGCUCAACCCCGUAUUGCGAUGGAAACUGGGUUUCUUGAGUGCAGGAGAGGAAAGGGGAAUUCCCAGUGUAGCGGUGAAAUGCGUAGAUAUUGGGAGGAACACCAGUGGCGAAGGCGACUUACUGGGCCGUAACUGACGCUGAGGCGCGAAAGCGUGGGGAGCGAACAGGAUUAGAUACCCGGGUAGUCC